UCCGUAGGGUGCAAGCGUUACCCGGAAUCAUUGGGCGUAAAGCGUCCGUAGGCUGUUUCGUCCGUUUGUUCUUAAAUCGACAGGCUCAACCUGUCGGCUGGAGCGGAUACGGCGAGACUCGAAGAUGGAAGAGACAAGCGGAACUCCCGGUGUAGCGAUGAAAUGCGUUUAUAUCGGGGGGAACACCAGUGGCGAAGGCGGCUUGUUGGUCCAUUCUUGACGCUGAGGGACGAAAGCGUGGGUAGCGAACAGG
This 253-nucleotide ribosomal RNA is filed under the name uncultured bacterium. RNAcentral describes it as "partial 16S ribosomal RNA". It matches the Rfam family "Bacterial small subunit ribosomal RNA", at positions 524 to 776 of the family's 1533-position model. The record is from RNAcentral.